Molecule: long non-coding RNA, 1446 nt
Organism: Mauremys mutica (yellowpond turtle)
Lineage: Eukaryota; Metazoa; Chordata; Testudines; Geoemydidae
Exons: 5
Source: RefSeq, a predicted model, not a curated record
ACUGCCUACAACUCCACUGACCAGUAGGUGCGAGAGUGCUGGCUCACCUCCAUCUGCUGCUGGCAGUUGGCACUGACAACUGUCAACGAGCCUUUAGUCAUGGCAGUGGUGCAAUGGGAUUGGCAAGCAGUUGGUGUUCUCCAGCCAAUCACUGCACUCCAAGUCACAAUGAUUCUUAACUUCACCCUUUCGUCUGGCUGCUGAGUAGGCGAGUGAAGCAGCAGGAAGCACGCUGAGUGCACUGUGAAAUAUUCGGGCUGGGCAGAUUGUGCUGAAUGUGGAGAGAGAAAAGAGCAUCUGUGAGAACAUCUGUAAGGCUGAGAUCAGAAUAUGACGGUGCAUGUUUCAACAGGCUAGCUGAGUUUAUUACAGACUUAGAGACAAACCGUGCAGCAACUACAAAGAAGACACACAGCAGCACUAAGAGCUCUAAUAGCUCCUAGCUGGUUCUAUCAAGAUCGUGUUUAACAGAUCAAAAUGAAAUCUGUGAAAACCUGUGCAUCCCCUGAGGCUGUCAUUCUGAACGUCUGACAAAAAUUUUGACAACUCCUACCAGACUAAAGACAAUUCACUGGAUCGCACACGAUGCCCUUCUAAAAGAUUUGAAUGUACUUACGUUGUCAUCCUCGCUGUAGGAAAAUGGCUCUUUCCACCAUCACCCUCAACUCUCCAUACGUUUAAAAACGAUUUAAGAAAGAAGAGCAAUACUAUGCCUUGGCCCCUAACCCUGCUAAUAGGAUGUAAAGGCAAAGAAUCAUUGUCUUAAAUCUGUCAGAGAAAAAAUAAACUGUCCCAUAGAAAUAGGAAGGAGAAAUAGAAUCACUGUCAGGAAGCUGAAAGGGGAUUUGGAGAGUCAGGUUUCCAUUUCAUGCAUUAACUGUAUGGUCAGAGUGACUAUGGCUAAAGUUUUAUUUGCUCUUAGGUAUUUGAUUUCAGUGGAAGUUAGGAGCUUAAAUACCACUGAAGAUGUAAGCCUCUGACUCUGGGAUUGCUGGACACAUGUGAGGAGUCCUUCUGAAGUCUUAUAAACACACAAUGACAAGACAUUCAGUGGCAGUUGGAAAUCAGCUGUUCACAUAAAUAAGGAUCAUUACUUGUGGGAGUAACGGCUGCAGGAUUAGGCCCUGAAUUGGUGACGUGUUGUACAGCUUCAGCCUGAUUCUGUAAUAUAUAUCUGGGGAAUAGGAGAGAUUCCACACAGAGACAGCUAUGUUCCUAAAGCAGUCCAGCAUUUCUUCUUCACACAAACCUGAUGGUGAUUGCAACUAACCUGCAACACUUCUGUAUAUGGAUUAAGGCAUCCUGACCUAGCAUGACUCCUGGCAUUUGAUUCGUGGUUCUGAUCUCCCGUUUGUCUCCUGCUUCUGACCUCCUGGUAUCCUGACCCAGCUGACUCCUGUCUUAUCACCCUGAACUCUGACUCUGACUACUAGGCCACCCAGGACC